GGGAAUGUGGCUUAGUGGUAAAGUGCUUGCUUAGCAUGCAGAAAGCCCUGGGUUUGAUUCCUCAGUACCA
This 70-nucleotide transfer RNA is filed under the name Dipodomys ordii (Ord's kangaroo rat). It matches the Rfam family "tRNA". From Rfam's summary of the family: Transfer RNA (tRNA) molecules are approximately 80 nucleotides in length. Their secondary structure includes four short double-helical elements and three loops (D, anti-codon, and T loops). Further hydrogen bonds mediate the characteristic L-shaped molecular structure. tRNAs have two regions of fundamental functional importance: the anti-codon, which is responsible for specific mRNA codon recognition, and the 3' end, to which the tRNAs corresponding amino acid is attached (by aminoacyl-tRNA synthetases). tRNAs cope with the degeneracy of the genetic code in two manners: having more than one tRNA (with a specific anti-codon) for a particular amino acid; and 'wobble' base-pairing, i.e. permitting non-standard base-pairing at the 3rd anti-codon position. The record is from Rfam by way of RNAcentral. Lineage: Eukaryota; Metazoa; Chordata; Mammalia; Rodentia; Heteromyidae.